RNAcentral lists this ribosomal RNA (253 nucleotides) under uncultured bacterium. Its description in RNAcentral is "partial 16S ribosomal RNA". It matches the Rfam family "Bacterial small subunit ribosomal RNA", at positions 524 to 776 of the family's 1533-position model. The record is from RNAcentral.
UACGGGGGGGGCAAGCGUUGUUCGGAAUUACUGGGCGUAAAGGGUUUGUAGGUGGCUUGCUAAGUCAGACGUGAAAUCCCUCAGCUUAACUGGGGAACUGCGUCUGAUACUGGUGAGCUUGAGUGCAGGAGAGGAACGCGGAAUUCCAGGUGUAGCGGUGAAAUGCGUAGAUAUCAGGAGGAACACCGGUGGCGAAGGCGGCUUUCUGGACAGAUACCGACGCUGAGGCACGAAAGCUAGGGGAGCAAACAGG